GCUAUGGGUUAGUAAUAUAAGGCUAUGGGUUAGUAAUAUAAGGCUAUGGGUUAGUAAUAUAAGGCUAUGGGUUAGUAAUAUAAGGCUAUGGGUUAGUAAUAUAAGGCUAUGGGUUAGUAGUAUAAGGCUAUGGGUUAGUAGUAUAAGGCUAUGGGUUAGUAAUAUAAGGCUAUGGGUUAGUAGUAUAAGGCUAUGGGUUAGUAAUAUAAGGCUAUGGGUUAGUAGUAUAAGGCUGUGGGUUAGUAAUAUAAGGCUAUGGGUUAGUUUAAAAAUAAAGGAAAACAAGUUAAAGUUACAGACAAAGUGCACCAGCGAACACAAAGAUAUUGCGGACACGUAUGGAGAAUGUCACACACCAGCCCGACCUGCAUUUCUUCUUUUCAAUUUCAACUUUCUACCUUUUUCUCAAUGUCUGCUAAGUUUACAAAAUGUUGAUAAUAAAGUAAUUAUUUGAG
This is a long non-coding RNA of Gasterosteus aculeatus aculeatus (three-spined stickleback), 455 nucleotides long. The record is from Ensembl. Lineage: Eukaryota; Metazoa; Chordata; Actinopteri; Perciformes; Gasterosteidae.